This 440-nucleotide ribosomal RNA is filed under the name uncultured bacterium. Its description in RNAcentral is "partial 16S ribosomal RNA". It matches the Rfam family "Bacterial small subunit ribosomal RNA", at positions 338 to 795 of the family's 1533-position model. The record is from RNAcentral.
CCUACGGGGGGCAGCAGUGGGGGAUAUUGCACAAUGGGGGGAACCCUGAUGCAGCGACGCCGCGUGGGUGAAGGAGCGUUUCGGCGCGUAAAGCCCUAUCGGCAGGGAAGAAGAUGACAGUACCUGACUAAGAAGCCCCGGCUAACUACGUGCCAGCAGCCGCGGUAAUACGUAGGGGGCAAGCGUUAUCCGGAUUUACUGGGUGUAAAGGGAGCGUAGACGGCUGCGCAAGUCAGAAGUGAAAGCCCGGGGCUCAACCGCGGGACUGCUUUUGAAACUGUCUAGCUAGAGUGCAGGAGAGGUAAGUGGAAUUCCUGGUGUAGCGGUGAAAUGCGUAGAUAUUAGGAGGAACACCGGUGGCGAAGGCGGCUUACUGGACUGUAACUGACGUUGAGGCUCGAAAGCGUGGGGAGCAAACAGGAUUAGAUACCCUAGUAGUC